RNAcentral lists this ribosomal RNA (339 nucleotides) under uncultured bacterium. RNAcentral's name for it is "partial 16S ribosomal RNA". It matches the Rfam family "Bacterial small subunit ribosomal RNA", at positions 338 to 675 of the family's 1533-position model. The record is from RNAcentral.
CCUACGGGAGGCAGCAGUGAGGAAUAUUGGUCAAUGGGCGCGAGCCUGAACCAGCCAAGUCGCGUGAGGGAAGACGGUCCUAUGGAUUGUAAACCUCUUUUGUCGGGAAGCAAAAGACGCCACGCGUGGCGUUCCGAGAGUACCCGAAGAAAAAGCAUCGGCUAACUCCGUGCCAGCAGCCGCGGUAAUACGGAGGAUGCGAGCGUUAUCCGGAUUUAUUGGGUUUAAAGGGUGCGCAGGCGGAAGAUCAAGUCAGCGGUAAAAUUGGGAGGCUCAACCUCUUUCAGCCGUUGAAACCGGUUUUUUUUAGGGAGUGAGAAGUAUGGGGAAUGCGUGGGG